This 253-nucleotide ribosomal RNA is filed under the name uncultured bacterium. RNAcentral describes it as "partial 16S ribosomal RNA". It matches the Rfam family "Bacterial small subunit ribosomal RNA", at positions 524 to 776 of the family's 1533-position model. The record is from RNAcentral.
UACGUAGGGCGCAAGCGUUAUCCGGAAUUAUUGGGCGUAAAGAGCUCGUAGGCGGUUUGUCGCGUCUGCCGUGAAAGUCCGGGGCUCAACUCCGGAUCUGCGGUGGGUACGGGCAGACUAGAGUGAUGUAGGGGAGACUGGAAUUCCUGGUGUAGCGGUGAAAUGCGCAGAUAUCAGGAGGAACACCGGUGGCGAAGACGGGUCUCUGGGCCGAUACUGACGCUGAGGAGCGAAAGCGUGGGGAGCGAACAGG